CAGCGGCCCUUAUCGAAGCUGCAGCUGCUUCUGUGUGUAGUUGCAGUCAAAAAGGAGCCCAGAGUAACAAUUUUCCUUGACGGUCGCCGUUCUGUUUGCUGUAACUGAUCUGCAACAUUUUGGGGAAAGACAGUU
Octodon degus (degu) is the source of this 135-nucleotide small nucleolar RNA. NCBI's taxonomy places the organism in Eukaryota, Metazoa, Chordata, Mammalia, Rodentia, Octodontidae. The record is from Ensembl.